AAUACAUGUAGCUCAGUUUGGUAGAGCAGGAGACACGGUCUUUGUGGCGUAGGUUCAAAUCCUUCCAGUAUUAUCUAUAAUUACAUAAGAAAACGAAAUAUAUAAUGAUUAAUUAGAGAAGUCUAGUAUAUCUUGAGUAUAUGUGGAUUUCUUUCUACACCUAUUUUAAUUAAUAGGUGUUUUUUUAUUGACUUUUAUAAAUAAGUAUGGUAAGAUAGUUAUAUACAAUAAGGAGGAGAUUAAAUGGCUAUAUACGUAGUACCUGAUAUUCAUGGAGAAUAUGAAAAACUAAUAACAAUUAUGAAUAAGAUAGACAAGGAAAGACAACCUGAAGAUGUUAUAG
This 343-nucleotide transfer RNA is filed under the name Staphylococcus phage vB_Sau_S24. RNAcentral's name for it is "tRNA-Arg". The stretch from base 2 to 72 matches the Rfam family "tRNA". Lineage: Duplodnaviria; Heunggongvirae; Uroviricota; Caudoviricetes; Herelleviridae. The record is from RNAcentral.